GCAGAAACAAGCUAACAUGUUGAACUUGUUAGCAACCUGUUGCUCACCUGCUUCCAGCAGUGAAGGAGCAACAUUUCAUUUGGAGUCGUGUUUGUUUCACCUGAUGAAUGGAUUUCAAAGAGCCAGCCAGGUUGCUGUGGUUACAAAAAGGACGUCUAGGCCCACAGCUUUGCACAGGAUUCCUUCGGUGUUCCUGGUUCAGCAGCAGAAUCCUACACAGGACUGAUGACACCAUGACAGGAGAGAGGAAACGUUACCU
Molecule: long non-coding RNA, 259 nt
Organism: Cottoperca gobio
Lineage: Eukaryota; Metazoa; Chordata; Actinopteri; Perciformes; Bovichtidae
Exons: 3
Source: RefSeq, a predicted model, not a curated record